CAUGGGCUUACUAUAGAUUGUGAGGCAAGUUAGUGAUGAAUUAAUGGAGUUGUGUACUGUGAACACAAUGAAUAAUACGUUAAUUCUACGCAGUUAUAUCUAGAGAUGUUGUGGUGGGUAAAAAAGCCCAACCCGACCUGAACCCAAAAUAAACCCGCCCACCAAAAACUCAACUUUAGAAAACUCAGAUGGGUUUUUGAUUAAGUGCGUAAAGCCCGAAAAAACUGAUUAUUCCGAGACUACCCGUGGGUACCCAACUUGGUUUUUAUCAUUUUUUUAGAGUUUAUUUUUAACUGUUAAUAUACUAUUAUAUGUAUGUUGUAUCUAUAUUUUGCUUAUUAAUA
Molecule: small RNA, 344 nt
Filed under: Arabidopsis thaliana (thale cress)
Lineage: Eukaryota; Viridiplantae; Streptophyta; Magnoliopsida; Brassicales; Brassicaceae
Description: ATSL209680
Source: RNAcentral